Molecule: long non-coding RNA, 569 nt
Filed under: Homo sapiens (human)
Lineage: Eukaryota; Metazoa; Chordata; Mammalia; Primates; Hominidae
Description: non-protein coding lnc-PSMA1-2:4
Source: RNAcentral
UCCGACACUUCCUCCUCGGUCAGCUAGAUGAGUUCGCCCCUCAGGUUCCUUCAGUGGAGUAGAUUCUGAGCGGUCCAGAAUAGCUCCUAGUGCUGUGUAUGGGAGAGGAGAAGACAGAGACUUGACUUGGAGGCCUACCUGUACCACCAGUGCGGACUUGACCCCCAGUUUCGAAAUCAGUAUGACAAUGAUGUCACUGUUUGGAGCCCCCAGGGCAGGAUUCAUCAAAUUGAAUAUGCAAUGGAAGCUGUUAAACAAGGUUCAGCCACAGUUGGUCUGAAAUCAAAAACUCAUGCAGUUUUGGUUGCAUUGAAAAGGGCGCAAUCAGAGCUUGCAGCUCAUCAGAAAAAAAUUCUCCAUGUUGACAACCAUAUUGGUAUCUCAAUUGCGGGGCUUACUGCUGAUGCUAGACUGUUAUGUAAUUUUAUGCGUCAGGAGUGUUUGGAUUCCAGAUUUGUAUUCGAUAGACCACUGCCUGUGUCUCGUCUUGUAUCUCUAAUUGGAAGCAGUAUCCUUUUUAUGUUAGCAUUUAUGGAUAUGAACUUUGAAGGGUUUUGAUACUUGUGUUA